UACGGAGGGUGCAGGCGUUAUCCGGAUUUACUGGGUUUAAAGGGUGCGUAGGCGGUUUUUUAAGUCAGUGCUGAAAUACUCCAGCUUAACUGGAGGGGUGGCAUUGAUACUGGAAGACUUGAGUACAGAUGAGGUAGGCGGAAUUGACGGUGUAGCGGUGAAAUGCAUAGAUAUCGUCAAGAACACCGAUAGCGAAGGCAGCUUACUGGGCUGUAACUGACGCUGAUGCACGAAAGUGUGGGGAUCAAACAGG
RNAcentral lists this ribosomal RNA (253 nucleotides) under uncultured bacterium. RNAcentral's name for it is "partial 16S ribosomal RNA". It matches the Rfam family "Bacterial small subunit ribosomal RNA", at positions 524 to 776 of the family's 1533-position model. The record is from RNAcentral.